UGACACCUGCAACCCCGCAGUGCUGUCCCCCUGGCUGGGUUGGCUACAAUGGGUCUGCUACUAUUUCUCAAGGGAUUUCAGCAGCUGGGAGCAGGCUGAGGAACGGUGCUCGGAGCUCGGGGCCUCCCUGGCCAUUCUGAAGGAUGAGGAGGAAAUGGGUUUGCUCUUCCGCCUCCGCGGGAACGGCGAUUACUGGCUCGGGCUGCGCAGACGGGGCGAGCGCCUGCACUGGGGGGACGGCAGCAGCUACAGCUCCCGGGUUCCUGUCUUUGGCGAUUCCGACUGUGUGUACCUGGCUGAGGAGAGAUUCAGGAGUGAGAACUGCUCAAAGGAGCGGCCGUAUGUCUGCAGCAAGGCCCAGGCUCCCCUGUAACAGGGGCUGCAGAAAGGACCUUCUCCACGCUGGGCAGUGCCAGCUUCACCUCUCAGCCCAGCCCAGGGCUGUCCUUGCUCAGCUGCACCCUGUGCCUUGCCCUCGCUCUCAGGGUCACCUCAGUGCCUCUUCAUCCAUGCCCAGUGCCAGCGCUGGGCUGGGUGUGCAAAGGAAAAGGCUCUGCAAUCCAUCCUGCCUCCCAUGCUGCCUGGAGUGACAUCCAGUCAUUCUAUGUGAGAAACACAGCUCUCUAUUUACAGUUUUAUAAAA
Long non-coding RNA from Passer montanus (Eurasian tree sparrow), 643 nucleotides. RefSeq lists it as uncharacterized. The transcript has 3 exons. NCBI's taxonomy places the organism in Eukaryota, Metazoa, Chordata, Aves, Passeriformes, Passeridae. The record is from RefSeq and is a predicted model, not a curated record.